ACAAUUUUUUUUUUUUUAGUUUUUUUUCGAGUUUUGAGUUAUUCAUGCACCUGCAAGAGUAGAGGGCAUACAAGAUGGCACACACCAGGAGGGAUUCAUCAAAGUUUUAUGCUUAAUUUAAUGCUAUUCUGGAAAGUUCUGUUCGUUUCGUCUCUGGAAUGAUCUCAGAACACCGAAUGCUCCCAGAAGAUCCACCUGUUCAAAGAAGCCUCUUUGAUGCACCUUGCGUUAUCACAAGCCGACAUACCACAAGGAAUCAUCACUAAUUCUUGCCGACAGCCUCAUGUGUCAGUUUUUCCUCUGCACUUUAUACUGUCCCUUUUGCCUUAGCUGAAAUCACCCCAGGCCAGACGUAUAAUAAUAAUAUCUGCAGAGCACUGAUACUGUAGCA
Long non-coding RNA from Xenopus laevis (African clawed frog), 391 nucleotides. RefSeq lists it as uncharacterized. The transcript is spliced from 3 exons. NCBI's taxonomy places the organism in Eukaryota, Metazoa, Chordata, Amphibia, Anura, Pipidae. The record is from RefSeq and is a predicted model, not a curated record.